CACACACACACACACACACCUUAAAGCCAAUGGAGAGUUUCUAGACGACCCUGGCUGCAAAUUAAAUUUGCUGCCGCUAGGGUGGUCUACAUUUCCAGGCUAAUAAAACUGACUAAAAUACCCAAAUUCAAUGAAAGUAGUGAACUGAUUAUUUAACUUCUGAAGAGCGUUGUACGGAACCAUCCACGUUAUUUUUUUUUUUGACAAUUUAUUUGAAAGAAAACCCAAAAUUUCUGAUAUAGAAACUGUUUGAAAAUGGGUCAGAUUUGACCUCGAGGACAACAGGAGGAUUUAAGAACUUUAAAAAGCUUUAACGUGUGAACCUUUUUAUUUCCAAAUUUGUCACAACAACACAUUCAUAAGGCCACAGACUCACUGCACAUUCUGGUUGGAAUCAGAUUAACAUCCAAAAAUAUGUUUCUUCAAUAUAGAAUCAUAUAAAACUUGUUUAGUUUCUCCAUGUUCAGAGAGAGAGAGAGAGAGAGAGAGAGAGAGAG
Long non-coding RNA from Sander lucioperca (pikeperch), 497 nucleotides. RefSeq lists it as uncharacterized. NCBI's taxonomy places the organism in Eukaryota, Metazoa, Chordata, Actinopteri, Perciformes, Percidae. The record is from RefSeq and is a predicted model, not a curated record. The transcript has 3 exons.